This is a small nucleolar RNA of Syzygium oleosum, 89 nucleotides long. The record is from RefSeq and is a predicted model, not a curated record. Lineage: Eukaryota; Viridiplantae; Streptophyta; Magnoliopsida; Myrtales; Myrtaceae.
GAGGAGGCGAUGAUGCUGAAAACUACCUAUUUUCUGAGGGAAAUCUCAGUGAUUACAAAACUUACCAAUGGAUCCUUCUGAGCCUCUCU